GUCCACGCCCUAAAACGAUGUCAACUAGGUGUUGGGGGGGAGACUUCCUUAGUACCGCAGCUAACGCGUGAAGUUGACCGCCUGGGGAGUACGGUCGCAAGAUUAAAACUCAAAGGAAUUGACGGGGACCCGCACAAGCGGUGGAUUAUGUGGAUUAAUUCGAUGCAACGCGAAAAACCUUACCUACCCUUGACAUGCCAGGAACUUGCCAGAGAUGGCUUGGUGCCCGAAAGGGAACCUGGACACAGGUGCUGCAUGGCUGUCGU
This 266-nucleotide ribosomal RNA is filed under the name uncultured bacterium. RNAcentral's name for it is "partial 16S ribosomal RNA". It matches the Rfam family "Bacterial small subunit ribosomal RNA", at positions 793 to 1055 of the family's 1533-position model. The record is from RNAcentral.